AUCUACAGCCAUCCCACCUUGAUUGCACGGAUCUUGUCAUAUCUCAGGAGGCAAGCAAGUUUGGGCUCCAGUUAGUUAGUACUUAGAUGGGAGAAUGUAAGUU
This 103-nucleotide ribosomal RNA is filed under the name Mus pahari (shrew mouse). Its description in RNAcentral is "rRNA (MGP_PahariEiJ_G0032770.1)". Lineage: Eukaryota; Metazoa; Chordata; Mammalia; Rodentia; Muridae. The record is from RNAcentral.